CGUGGUUCUCAGGUGAUGCACCCCGGAAUUGGGCUCUCUCCUCUCUGGUUCCGGGGUGUGUCACCCAAGAACCGCC
Molecule: non-coding RNA, 76 nt
Organism: Myotis lucifugus (little brown bat)
Lineage: Eukaryota; Metazoa; Chordata; Mammalia; Chiroptera; Vespertilionidae
Source: Rfam